Molecule: ribosomal RNA, 119 nt
Filed under: Pteropus alecto (black flying fox)
Lineage: Eukaryota; Metazoa; Chordata; Mammalia; Chiroptera; Pteropodidae
Also listed under: 1 other name
Source: RNAcentral
GUCUACAGCCAUGCCACCCUGAAUGUGCCUGAUCUAGUCUGAUCUCAGAAGCUAAGCAGGGUCGGGCCUGGUUAAUUCUUGGAUGGGAGACCACCUAGGAAGACCAAGUGCUAUAAGUG